Molecule: ribosomal RNA, 861 nt
Filed under: Triticum aestivum (bread wheat)
Lineage: Eukaryota; Viridiplantae; Streptophyta; Magnoliopsida; Poales; Poaceae
Description: partial small subunit ribosomal RNA
Source: RNAcentral
AUGGGCGUGCUCGCGGGCUACUCCUCGGCGCGCCUGUACAAGGCUCUCAGGGGGUCGGAGUGGAAGAAGGUCACCGUCAAGACGGCGACCAUGUUCCCCGGCACGGUGUUCGCCAUCUUCUUCGUCCUCUACGCGCUCAUAUGGGGCGAGAGGUCCUCCGGCGCGGUGCCCUUCACCACCAUGUCGGCACUGGUGCUGCUCUGGUUCGGCAUCUCGGUGCCGCUGGUGUUCGUGGGGAGCUACCACGGCUUCUUCAAGAGGAGGCCCGCGGCGGAGGACCCGGUGCGGACGAACAAGAUCCCGCGGCCGAUCCCGGAGCAGCCGUGGUACAUGCACCCGGCUGUGUCGGUGCUGAUCGGCGGCGUGCUCCCGUUCGGCGCGGUCUUCAUCACCUCCGUCUGGUUGCACCAGUUCUACUACAUCUUCGGGUUCCUGCUGCUGGCGUUGGUGAUCCUGGCGCUGACCUGCGUGGAGAUCGCAGUGGUGCUCUGCUACUUCCAGCCCUGCAGCGAGGACUACCGGUGGUGGUGGAGGUCGUACUUGCCUGACGGCCGGCUCGUCGGCGCUCUACCUCUUCCUCUACGCCGCCUUCCACUUCUUCAGCUACUUCCACUUCUUCACCAAGCUGGACAUCAGUCACCAAGGUGGUCUCCGGCGCGCUCUACUUCGGGUACAUGCUCAUCGCCUCCUACGCCUUCUUCGUCCUCACCGGCGAUCACCAUCGGCUUCUACGCCUGCUUCUGGUUCACCAACCUCAUCUACUCCUCCUCCCUCGAGGUCGACAAGAUCAUCAGAGUAGUUAGUGGCAGGCAAGUAGGCUCUGCUUCUUCAGGCGUUAUCUUGGGAGAUCCUACAGUAUGA